UACGGGGGGGGCAAGCGUUGUUCGGAAUUACUGGGCGUAAAGGGGCGCGUAGGCGGCUGGAUAAGUCUGACGUGAAAUCCCUCGGCCUAACCGAGGAACUGCGUUUGAAACUGUCCGGCUCGAGUCCGGGAGAGGGUAGUGGAAUUCCCAGUGUAGCGGUGAAAUGCGUAGAUAUUGGGAGGAACACCGGUGGCGAGGGCGGAACUCUGGGCCGGAACUGGACGCGUGAGGAGCGAAAGCGUGGGGAGCGAACAGGG
This 257-nucleotide ribosomal RNA is filed under the name uncultured bacterium. Its description in RNAcentral is "partial 16S ribosomal RNA". It matches the Rfam family "Bacterial small subunit ribosomal RNA", at positions 524 to 777 of the family's 1533-position model. The record is from RNAcentral.